GGAUCCAGGACCGGAAAGGCCAGCUUCUCCCUCAUUUUGAAAUCAGCUUUCUCCACCUGCACCACUGCAUAGCACAGAUACAGAAGCCAUCCUGUUGCAGGAUUUGAAUGCAAAACUUAUCUUCUUACUCUAAAGAUGAAUGAUCAGGGAGAGGUUUAUUCAACCCUGAGAUUUUUGCAGCCUCCUUCAGAGUCGCAGAAUAGAUUAAGGCCUGAUGAUACUCAAAGGCCUGGGAAAACUGAUGACAAAGAGUUUUCAGUGCCCUGGCGUCUCAUUGCAGUGACUCUUGGGAUCCUCUGUUUAUUUCUUCUGAUGAUAGUCACAGUGUUGGUGACAAAGAUCUUUCAGUGUGUUCAAGAAAAACAUGAACAGCAGGAAAUUCUAAGAAACUGUAGUGAAAAGUACAUCAUGCAAAAUGAUAACUACUUAAAAGAGCAGCUUUUGACAAAUAAGACUUUAAAAUAUGACAUUCUCAAAAAAGACAGCUUUCUGCAGAAAAAGGAACUGGAUUCACUCCUCAUGCUAAAGAGCAGAUGUCAUAGAGAAAAUGAGAUCGUUUUAAAAUUUUUGCAAAAUACAGGCAAAUUCUCUGAAGACCACUGGUCCUGUUGUGGAGUAAACUGUUAUUAUUUUACCAUGCAGAAGAAAGACUGGAAGGGAUGUAAACAAACUUGUCAACAUUGUAGAUCAUCUCUUUUGAAGAUAGAUGACAAAGAUGAACUGGCCUUCAUUCAAUCUCAGAUUUAUGAAAAUAAUUACUGGAUUGGAUUAUCAUAUGAUAAAAGGGAAAGUAAGUGGAAGUGGAUUGAUAAUGGCACAUCUCCUGGAAUUAAUUCUACAAUAAUGCGUUCUUCUUCUGGGAGAGGAGAAUGUGCAUUUUUGACCUCAACAAGAAUGGCAACUAUUGAUUGCAUUCAAAAGUACAAUUGUAUCUGUGAGAAGAGAACUGACUCUAUUUUCUCUGAUUCAGUGUGCGCUAAGAAGAAAAGGUGAAAAUGAAAUGUUUUCUUUUUUUGUUUCCUAUAAUAAUUUGUGACUAUAAAUCAUUGCUUUUAACUACAGGACUUAGUUAAUUCUUGAAAAAAUAAAGAUGAACAGGAAGAAAAAGAAAAUUCUUUUGGACUAUGACUUUAACGAUCAGAUGCCGUCUUUCUUCCUGGAAAAGAGGAGAUUUUCUCUUUUGAGAGUGGUUAUUCCUUCCUUUAAUGUCCCUGAGGAAUUAUUCAUUCUUUCUAAAUUCUUGGAACUACCUAUAGAACCAGUUAGAGAACUCUGAUAUUAUAUCCUGGGUCUUUUUCUUAUCAAUAGGAUAAAUUAUUUCAGCAUCUUCUGGUUUUGAUAAGCAGUUGUGAACUACAAUAUAGUUAUUUUUUUCUUCCCAUCUAGAAGUUACCUCAUCUUUUAAAACGUUUGUUUUGCUAUAAAAUAUAACUUGAAACUUACUGAAAGUUGCAAGACUAGUACAAGGAACUUCUAUAUAAUCUUUACUCAUACUUACUAGUUGUUUAUAUUUUGCUCUGCUUUAUAUUUGUCUCUCUUUCUAUCCUCCACUUAAUAAUAAGUUGAGGCCUUCAUGCCCCUUUGUCUAAAUAUUUUCCAAGAUCAAGGACUUUGUUUUAUAUAAUCACAGUGCAAUUAUCAAACUCAGAAAAUUUAGCAUUAUUACAGUACGAUGAUCUAAUCUGUAAUCCAUGUUCAAAUUUUGUCAAUUGUCCCAAUAAUGUCAUUUAUAUGUAUUUUUAAAAACUCCAUGUUCAGGAUAAUGCAGUGCAUUUGAUUGUAAUGUCUCUUUAGUCUCCUUUAAUCUGAAACAGUUCUUUAGGCUUUCUUUUUCUCGGCCUUGACAUUUUAAAAAUUAACUUUAUUGAGUUUUACUUUUCAUGCAAUAAAAUGCACUCACUUUAAGUCAUGAAGAAUAUGACUUUUAACAUCUAUCUAUACAUAUAUAUAUCUUACACAGUAUGAAAUCAAGAUAUAGAAUAUUUUCAUCAUCUCUAAAAGUUCCUUUCUGUACUUCACCCACUUUGCCCCAGGCAACUAGUGAUAUGCUUUCUAUCACUGCAAAUUAGUUUACCUUAGUCUAGAAUUUAAUGCAUCAUGUACUCUUCUGUAUCUGGCUUAUUUUUACUCAGCAUGUUUUUGAGUUUUAUCUAUGCUUUUGUGUAUCAGUAUUUCAUUCUUUUUCUUACUAGGUAGUAUUCUAUUGUACAGAUAUACCACAAUUUGUUUCUUCAUCCACCUGUGGACAUGUGAUGUGUUUCCAUUUAUUGGCUACUGUGAAUAAAGGUGCCAUGAACAUUUGUGUGCAAGUAUCUGUGUGGACAUAUUUUAAUUUCUUUUUAGUAAAUACCUGGGAGUCUGAUUGCUGGGCCAUCUGUUCUGGAGACUGGGAAUUCCAAGACCAAAGUGCUAACAAAUUCAGUACUUGGUGAAGGCCUGCUUCGUGCUUCACAUAUGGCCGUCUUUGCUGUGUUUUCUAGUGGAGGAAGAGGCAAGGAAGCUCUCUAGGAUAUCUUUUAUAAGGACAUUAAUCCCAUUCAUGAGGGCACGACCCUCAUGACCUAAUCACCUCCCAAAGUCUCUAUCUCCAAAUAGCAUCACACUGUGGAUAAAGUUUCAACAAAUGCAUUUUUUGGGGGCAUAAAUAUUCAGUAUAUAGCAGUAGAGAAGAGUUUUUCAGUGUCCAUAGAAAUGAAAUUCUAUCAUUAAAGAAUUUUAAUAAAUUUAUAACUCAAGAUUAGAGUUUCUUAUUUGAAUAGAGUGAGUAGGAUGUGGUGAUGAUCUCAUCUCAGCAUGAAACAGGAAAGGUUGAAGCAUCAAAAAUGAUUAAAAAA
This is an RNA transcript of Cercocebus atys (sooty mangabey), 2834 nucleotides long. It is a transcript of the gene named killer cell lectin-like receptor 2, with no coding region annotated. NCBI's taxonomy places the organism in Eukaryota, Metazoa, Chordata, Mammalia, Primates, Cercopithecidae. The transcript is spliced from 8 exons. The record is from RefSeq and is a predicted model, not a curated record.